GAUUUCUGACGAUUUGAUUUCAGGCCGGCCACGGUUUCGUGUGUUAGUGCUUGAAAUCUUCGUCAUCCUUCCAAUGGCUAUUCAUCCUUCUUCAUUGAGGUGGUGAGUGGUAUUGGAUCUUUUACUUUGAAAAAAUUAGAGUGUUUCAAGCAGGCUUUAUGCUAUGAAUACAUUAGCAUGGAAUAAUAAUUUAGGACUUCGGUUCUAUUUUGUUGGUUUCUAGGACUGAAGUAAUGAUUGAUAGGGACAGUUGGGGGUGCUAGUAUUCAGUGCGAAGAGGUGAAAUUCUUGGAUCCACUGAAGACUAACUUAUGCGAAAGCAUU
This 324-nucleotide ribosomal RNA is filed under the name Neoheteromita sp. RNAcentral describes it as "SSU rRNA". It matches the Rfam family "Eukaryotic small subunit ribosomal RNA", at positions 633 to 955 of the family's 1831-position model. The record is from RNAcentral. Lineage: Eukaryota; Cercozoa; Glissomonadida; Sandonidae.